AGUGAACGCUGGCGGUAGGCCUAACACAUGCAAGUCGAACGGCAGCACAGGAGAGCUUGCUCUCUGGGUGGCGAGUGGCGGACGGGUGAGGAAUACAUCGGAAUCUACUUUUUCGUGGGGGAUAACGUAGGGAAACUUACGCUAAUGCCGCAUACGACCUACGGGUGAAAGCAGGGGACCUUCGGGCCUUGCGCGAUUGAAAGAGCCGAUGUCGGAUUAGCUAGUUGGCGGGGUAAAGGCCCACCAAGGCGACGAUCCGUAGCUGGUCUGAGAGGAUGAUCAGCCACACUGGAACUGAGACACGGUCCAGACUCCUACGGGAGGCAGCAGUGGGGAAUAUCGGACAAUGGGCGCAAGCCUGAUCCAGCCAUACCGCGUGGGUGAAGAAGGCCUUCGGGUUGUAAAGCCCUUUUGUUGGGAAAGAAAUCCAGCUGGCUAAUACCCGGUUGGGAUGACGGUACCCAAAGAAUAAGCACCGGCUAACUUCGUGCCAGCCGCCGCGGUAA
Molecule: ribosomal RNA, 506 nt
Filed under: uncultured bacterium
Lineage: Bacteria
Description: partial 16S ribosomal RNA
Rfam family: Bacterial small subunit ribosomal RNA
Source: RNAcentral